This 301-nucleotide ribosomal RNA is filed under the name uncultured bacterium. RNAcentral's name for it is "partial 16S ribosomal RNA". It matches the Rfam family "Bacterial small subunit ribosomal RNA", at positions 509 to 808 of the family's 1533-position model. The record is from RNAcentral.
CAGUCGCCGCGGGAAUACGUAGGUGGCGAGCGUUGUCCGGAAUUAUUGGGCGUAAAGGGAGCGCAGGCGGACAUAUAAGUCCAUCUUAAAAGUGCGGGGCUCAACCCCGUGAGGGGAUGGAAACCGUAAGCCUUGAGUGCAGGAGAGGAAAGCGGAAUUCCCAGUGUAGCGGUGAAAUGCGUAGAUAUUGGGAGGAACACCAGUGGCGAAGGCGGCUUUCUGGACUGCAACUGACGCUGAGGCUCGAAAGCCAGGGGAGCGAACGGGAUUAGAUACCCGCGUAGUCCCUGUCUCUUAUACC